AGAUAAAGUUUUAACCAGGAGAGCUUUCUGGGAAAAAAGUGUGUUUCUUGCUGGAGACAAAUGUCUGAAAUGUUCAGUGACUGGCUGCAAAGAUCAACUUGAUUGCCAAGUCUGAAAGGAAGGGAACAAGCACAAUGGAGCCCCCUCCCCAGCUCAGCCCCUCUUUUAUCCUUUCCCAUCCAGGAUCCAUGGGCACUCUGCCAACGGGGAAUCUUAAGAACUCAUUCAAAGGAACCCGAAGAAAGGAGCUUGUUUAAAACCAGGAGCCAUUCUUUCGCAGGCUCUUGUUUUUCUUUACGUUUCCCACGUGAGGAGGGAUUUUCUGGCUGUCAUUUUCUCUGACACAGCUUCUGAAAUGGUGUGUGUGUGUGUGUGUGUGUGUGUGUGUUGGGGGGGGGUUGCUGGAAUUGCAAUUCAUGUAACGUUUCAUCGGAUUUGUGUUUUGAAGGAGUGUUAGUGAGAGAUCUCCCUCCAGAGCCCCUUCCUCCCUCUCUCUCUACUUUUCUUCCUGCUUUUACUCCAUCUCUCUCCUGCACACAUGGUAACUCCUCCCCCCGGCGACCCAUUGUCUCUCCGUACAGUACCGGGCUGAGAGGAUGUCACACUCGGUCCAGCGAUGGACACAGGACAGGGAGAAGGAGGAGACGGAGCGACCGCUAGAGUCAGAACCAGCAGCAUGCACCUGAACUAACACACACCGGGAGGCUGCAGCUAUCUGAUCAUUGGUUGGAGGGAUUCAUAAUUUCACUCAACUAGAGGCUCUGGCUCACACGUGUCACACCUUCAGUGGGUUCUUGUGGAAACGGUCACAUCGACGAGUCUCGAGUGCUUUUAUUAAAGAUAAAGCUAAAGUGUGGGCAGCCUGUCGCGGUGACCGUCCUCCAUCGUCUGAAUAACAGCUGGACUCUUUCAUUAAAGACAUGAAAUCAUUCACCACAACCCGUCAGCCAUACAUCUAUCUAAUCAGUAAUUAAGUCAGACUGUUUAUUAAAAUGUUUUUAUGGUUCUAGAUGGACUUUUCUCUGCUCUGACCCAGUUCCCUCGUGAGAAAGUGUUGUCUUCGAAAUGAUCGUUUAUUCUGUUCAGACUCGUAGCUUUUAGUCUGAUUAGUUUAUCUCAGCACAAGUAUCGUUCUUUAACUGUAGCUGAUGUGUGAGCAGGAGACGCCUUUGUGAUCGUAUUAUGUUUAUUCAUGACAAUAAAAACCCGUUCUCUAUUCAAUGAAGUUCAGGUAAAAUUCUGAUUUACUAAUUAUUCAUAAAGAAUGUUUGUUGUUUCCUGCUUAUGUAGUCCUGCUGAUCCAGCUGGAAGAAAACCCUUUCUAAAUAAAAGCUCAGGUCUCAGGAAAUAAAAGGAAAAGAUGGUUUUUUAUUACUUGUUUGGAAGUUUAACUGAAUCAUUAGUUUCAAACAUGAACUAAAAAGAAAAGUGAAGCUUUUUACUAAAUAGUAAAACCAGUUCCGGACCCUAAGCUGUGAACUGAGCUCCGGUCUGGUUUUAUGGAUCAUCAUCCUUCACGGGCCCGGAUGUAGCCAUGGGCAAGGAGGGGCAAUGCCCCCCUAAAAAUAGUAACUGCCCCCCCCCCCCACCCCCAAAUGCGAUGACAUGUAGAAAUCCCACAUUUGAAAAGAUCUGAUGAAAAAGGGUCAGAGUUCUCUCUCUCUCUCUCUCUCUCUCUCUCUCUCUCUCUCUCUCUCUCUCUCUCUCUCU
Molecule: long non-coding RNA, 1710 nt
Organism: Nothobranchius furzeri (turquoise killifish)
Lineage: Eukaryota; Metazoa; Chordata; Actinopteri; Cyprinodontiformes; Nothobranchiidae
Source: Ensembl